UACGGAGGAUCCAAGCGUUAUCCGGAUUUAUUGGGUUUAAAGGGUGCGUAGGCGGAACGAUAAGUCAGUGGUGAAAGCCUGCAGCUUAACUGCAGAACUGCCAUUGAUACUGUCGAUCUUGAGUACAUUUGAUGUGGGCGGAAUGUGUCAUGUAGCGGUGAAAUGCUUAGAUAUGACACAGAACACCGAUUGCGAAGGCAGCUCACAAAACUGUAAACUGACGCUGAGGCACGAAAGCGUGGGUAUCAAACAGG
This 254-nucleotide ribosomal RNA is filed under the name uncultured bacterium. Its description in RNAcentral is "partial 16S ribosomal RNA". It matches the Rfam family "Bacterial small subunit ribosomal RNA", at positions 524 to 776 of the family's 1533-position model. The record is from RNAcentral.